Molecule: non-coding RNA, 1449 nt
Organism: Drosophila virilis
Lineage: Eukaryota; Metazoa; Arthropoda; Insecta; Diptera; Drosophilidae
Source: RefSeq, a predicted model, not a curated record
CGUGAGCAGGAUAAAUGCAUUUGUCUCUGUGUAUUUGCAUGUGUGGGUAUUUGCCUGGGCACUCGUAUCGUAAACUUUCUUAUGAGUUUCUAGUUUUGUGCUGAACAUCAAGAACCCUUAGAGAUGAGUUUCAGUGCACGUUAAGCCAACAGAAAGUUCAAAACUAUUUGAAUCUCUACGCCGACCCUGCAAUAAAACAAACGCCCAUAAAAGAAGAAACCGACCAAAUUAUUCAAAAUAUAAGAAAAGCGUGGAAACGUAUUGCUAAGAAAUUCAGCUGGGAAUGCCAAGAAAACAAUUCCGCUUUCUAAUUGAACCUUCACUGGGCUGGUCGCAGGGUGUUUGUGGAUGUGGCUGUCAUAAAACGUACCUCGAUGUUGUUAUUGGCUUCAUCGUUCAAACAAAACUGCCGGCUCCCCUUUUCAGCGCUGUGUGCAGUCAAUAAAUUGAAACGAAUUCAAUUGGCAGCGGAAUGUUUACAAGCGGACGGAGAAGACCAAGCCAGAGACAAACAAAUAAACAGGCGGACAAGCAAGCACACACCAUCGGACAGAAGACAUUGAAUCGAGAACAUGCCAUUGACAAACUGAAAAUAAACAAAUUCAUAAGUCUUGGCAUCCAUCCAUCAACCCUGGCAGCCUUCGACUCCACUUGCCAGACAUCGUUCAGCCUGGCCAGCAACCUCUUCAGUUAUCAAUGGUCAUUGGCGCUCUGUCCCAUUUACAUCCACAACCAUAUCCUCGGUAUCCGGCCUUUGUAGAGACAGGCCUACAUAGUACUUAUAUCGAUGGAUGUGCCCUCGCAAAUGUCAUUGGUAUAAUAAGCUGUUUGUUUUAAUGGCGCUUGUUUCUGGGCGCACUCUUGCCGUUUUGGCGCACAAACAAAAAUAAUGACACAGCUCCGAGCGAGCUCUUUACCGGGCCGACUCUUGGGCGGACAGCUGGAUGGUCGGACAAAACACAGAAAACAACAUGCCAUCAUAACAACGACUUCAUAAAUUCGGCUUGCGUAUUUAUUUAUAAUAAUUUAUUUCAAUAACAACGCCAGCCAUCUUUCUCCAUCUGUAGCUUCAACCCUAGCCGCAGUCCCCGCUUAGCUCCAGUCCCCUCAUUUCCAAGCAGCCGAGCAUUCAGUCUCGUGGCCGUUGUUUCUUUUCCUCACUUCAAAUGACAUUUCAAAUAUUUGUACAGUUUUCGUUGUCGUUGGGGGACUGCAUAAAUAGUCGAAUAUCAAUUUAUGCCUUUCUUAAAUGGGAAAAUUUGAGAUUCGACUAUUUGGGGUCCGGCCUAGUUUAACACUUUUGUAGGAAAUAUCUUUUUUAUACCCUGUACCGAUUAAAAUUGGGUAAAGAUGGGUAUACUAUUUUUAUGUUACCAAAAACUCGAGUGUCCUCUUAUACCAUAUCUUAGAGAUUAAAGAAACACCAAACUCCGUAUGUUAUUUUUAUAA